UUAAUUGAAACCAAAGUUGAGGUAACUUAUUGUUAAUAAGAAUAUUGAAUAUUAUUAAUUCCAAUUAAA
RNAcentral lists this transfer RNA (69 nucleotides) under Cicadellinae sp. EMHAU-2015-Zz060410. Its description in RNAcentral is "tRNA-Asn". The record is from RNAcentral. Lineage: Eukaryota; Metazoa; Arthropoda; Insecta; Hemiptera; Cicadellidae.